RNAcentral lists this long non-coding RNA (421 nucleotides) under Lathyrus oleraceus (garden pea). Its description in RNAcentral is "Pisum sativum (pea) long non-coding RNA (PSAT_LNC028517)". Lineage: Eukaryota; Viridiplantae; Streptophyta; Magnoliopsida; Fabales; Fabaceae. The record is from RNAcentral.
CUUGGAUGUGGAUAUCUUUAUUUGAUGCCUUUUCUCUUCAAGAUAAUAUAAUUGUGCAUCUGUGUGUUGCUUGAUUCAAAAUGUCCAAGGGAAUUCUGGGUUUCUAUUGACAUUCUUGUCUAUUAGAUUGUUGCCCAUUGGUCAGAUCUUUUCAAUUCUUAACUUUAAGUUUUUUGCAUAGGAUUAGUCUUUUCAUGUUCUCCCCAUUUCUUCAAUUUCAAAAUCUCUCCCUCCCUUUUCAAAAUCUUCUUUGAUUGAACUUAUUUUAUUCUAAACUCUGACCACUUUGCAAAAAGAUAGAAACUUUGGCCUUAUGCCAUUGCACUUUCAAACUUCUUUUCUUAAAUCAAAUUUGUAAAUAAACUUAACUAUACUUGACUUAAACUUUCAGAAAAGCAAAAAAAAACUAACUCAUUCAAAC